AGUGCUAGAUGUUGGGAACAUUCGAUAUCAGUGUCACAGUUAACGCGUUAAGCACUUCGCCUGGGGAGUACGGCCGCAAGGUUAAAACUUAAAGGAAUUGACCGGGGACCCGCACAACCGGUGGAGCAUGUUGUUUAAUUCGAAGAUACGCGAACAACCUUACCUACUCUUGACAUCCCGAUCGCGAAUUUCAGAGAUGAUUUUCUUCAGUUUGGCAUGGAUCGGUGACAGAUGCUGCAUGGUUGUCGUCAGCUCGUGUCGUGAGAUGUUGGGUUAAGUCCCGCAACGAGCGCAACCCUUACUGUUAGUCGCCAUCAGGUUAUGCUGGGAACUCUAGCCGAACUGCCGGUGAUAAGCCGGAGGAAGGUGGGUAUGACGUCAAAUCAGCAUGGUUCUUACGAUUAGGUCCACACAACGUGCUACAAUGGUAACUACAGAAAGCGGCAAACUUGCAAGAGAGAGCUAAUCUUUUAGGAGCUCUAUCCUCAGUGUCCGAAUAGUCCCUCUGCAACGCGAGGGCAUGAAGUGGGAAUCGCUAGUAAUCGCAGGUCAG
RNAcentral lists this ribosomal RNA (553 nucleotides) under uncultured organism. RNAcentral describes it as "bacterial SSU rRNA". It matches the Rfam family "Bacterial small subunit ribosomal RNA", at positions 812 to 1352 of the family's 1533-position model. The record is from RNAcentral.